RNAcentral lists this ribosomal RNA (253 nucleotides) under uncultured bacterium. Its description in RNAcentral is "partial 16S ribosomal RNA". It matches the Rfam family "Bacterial small subunit ribosomal RNA", at positions 524 to 776 of the family's 1533-position model. The record is from RNAcentral.
UACGGAGGGGGCGAGCGUUAUUCGGAAUUAUUGGGCGUAAAGGGCGCGUAGGCGGCCUUCUAAGUCAGACGUGAAAUCCCCCGGCUUAACCUGGGAACUGCGUCUGAUACUGGGAGGCUUGAGUAUGGGAGAGGGAUGUAGAAUUCCAGGUGUAGCGGUGAAAUUCGUAGAUAUCGGGAGGAACACCAGUGGCGAAGGCGGAUCUCUGGGCCAUAACUGACGCUGAGGAGCGAAAGCAUGGGGAGCGAACAGG